GACUCAGUACAGAAAGCCAAACCUAGGCUAGUUACAAAAGUUCUCUUCUUCUGGAAUACUUCAUAGCUUAAUGUUAGUUGGAUGUUAUUUGUAAAUAAAGGCCACUAUUUCAGAAUGUACUGUUAACGGAACUUCCACACAGCCACGGCUCAAAAAACCAACAGUCACAGUGAACAGCUCUUUGUCUUCUUCUUCGUUGGUGUCUCCUGCAGGUGGAGUUCGUGUGUUAUGUGUUUCACGGGGAGCAGUCCCGCUGGCGCCCUCUAAACCUGGAGCUGGUAUUGCAGCGCUGCAGCGAGGUGCAGCACUGGGUCGCCACGGAGAUCCUGCAGUGCCAGUCGCUGCCGAAGAGGGUCCAACUGCUCCGCAAGUUCAUCAAGAUCGCAGCACUCUGUAAGCAGCAGCAGGACUUGCUGUCUUUCCUCGCUGUGGUUCUGGGUCUAGACAACCCUGCUGUCAGCAGACUGCGACUCACCUGGGAGGGUCUCCCGGGGAAGUUCAGGAAGCAGUUUCAGCAGUUUGAGGGCGUCGCGGACCCGUCCAGGAACCAUAAGUCCUACAGAGACCUGAUCACCAGCCUGAGACCUCCACUGAUCCCCUUCACUCCUCUGCUGCUCAAAGGUGAGUCUGGACCUGAGACCACGUGAUCACACCAACAACCAAUCAGAAGCCUCCUGAUAGUCACGUGACCAUUCCCUUGUUGCCACGGUCCCCUGAGAGUCUCUCCUGAACUCCUUGUGAUCGUUUCUCUUAUUGCUCCUCUGAGACGACUUUCCUCCUCCAGCUGUGGACCAGAUGUGAAGCCGUGUUAGCGACGUUAGCUCCUCCUCGCUAAUUAGCACCUCUGGCUAAUCAGCUGCAUGUCGCUGUUAACACACACACACACACACACACACACACACGUUCAGUGUGAAAGGACUUUAAAUUAGAUUACUGCACACACUGAACGCCUCUU
Molecule: long non-coding RNA, 955 nt
Organism: Anarrhichthys ocellatus (wolf-eel)
Lineage: Eukaryota; Metazoa; Chordata; Actinopteri; Perciformes; Anarhichadidae
Exons: 4
Source: RefSeq, a predicted model, not a curated record